RNAcentral lists this ribosomal RNA (403 nucleotides) under uncultured bacterium. RNAcentral describes it as "bacterial SSU rRNA". It matches the Rfam family "Bacterial small subunit ribosomal RNA", at positions 356 to 773 of the family's 1533-position model. The record is from RNAcentral.
AGGGAAUUUUCCGCAAUGGGCGAAAGCCUGACGGAGCAACGCCGCGUGAGUGAAGACGGCCUUCGGGUUGUAAAGCUCUGUUCUUGGGGAAGAAAAAAAUGACGGUACCCAAGGAGAAAGCCCCGGCUAACUACGUGCCAGCAGCCGCGGUAAUACGUAGGGGGCGAGCGUUAUCCGGAUUUAUUGGGCGUAAAGCGCGCGCAGGCGGUCAGGUAAGUCGGAUGUGAAAGGCUACGGCUCAACCGUAGAGCGGCAUCCGAAACUGUUUGACUUGAGUGCAGGAGAGGAGAGUGGAAUUCCCGGUGUAGCGGUGGAAUGCGUAGAGAUCGGGAGGAACACCAGUGGCGAAGGCGACUCUCUGGACUGUAACUGACGCUGAGGCGCGAAAGCGUGGGGAGCAAAC